GUCGACGGUUAAGCAUCUUCGGAUGUGUAUAAAGUGGCGAACGGCUGAGUAACACGUGGGCAACCUGCCCUUUGCACUGGGAUAGCCUCGGGAAACCGAGGUUAAUACCGGAUACUCCAUAUUUGUCGCAUGGCGAAUAUGGGAAAGCUCCGGCGGCAAAGGAUGGGCCCGCGGCCUGUUAGCUAGUUGGUGGGGUAGUGGCCUACCAAGGCAAUGAUGGGUAGCCGGGUUGAGAGACCGACCGGCCAGAUUGGGACUGAGACACGGCCCAGACUCCUACGGGAGGCAGCAGUGGGGAAUCUUGCACAAUGGGCGAAAGCCUGAUGCAGCGACGCCGCGUGCGGGAUGAAGGCCUUCGGGUUGUAAACCGCUUUCAGCAGGGACGAGGCCGCAAGGUGACGGUACCUGCAGAAGAAGCCCCGGCUAACUACGUGCCAGCAGCCGCGGUAAUACGUAGGGGGCAAGCGUUAUCCGGAUUCAUUGGGCGUAAAGCGCGCGUAGGCGGUCUGUUAGGUCAGGAGUUAAAUCUGGGGGCUCAACCCCUAUCCGCUCCUGAUACCGGCAGGCUUGAGUCUGGUAGGGGAAGAUGGAAUUCCAAGUGUAGCGGUGAAAUGCGCAGAUAUUUGGAAGAACACCGGUGGCGAAGGCGGUCUUCUGGGCCAUGACUGACGCUGAGGCGCGAAAGCUAGGGGAGCGAACAGGAUUAGAUACCCUGGUAGUCCUAGCUGUAAACGAUGGACACUAGGUGUGGGGAGAUUAUACUUUCCGUGCCGCAGCUAACGCAUUAAGUGU
This 792-nucleotide ribosomal RNA is filed under the name uncultured bacterium. RNAcentral describes it as "bacterial SSU rRNA". It matches the Rfam family "Bacterial small subunit ribosomal RNA", at positions 61 to 867 of the family's 1533-position model. The record is from RNAcentral.